UUUCUCUUGAUGGCAGAAGGUGGAGAUAGAGAAGCAAUAAAGUUUGUCUUUUCACGACCGUUAUUCUCUCCUUACGUCACCUGCCUUCGCUCCAAAAUUCGUCCUGUGACCUACCCUAAAUACACCACUCUAAAUCUGGGGCUGCAUUACAAUCUUUACUAGUGUCAAACACAUCCCCAUUUCUAACGAGCUUGAUGACUCAAAGGUCUGAAUCUGUACCCAGCCAAGAUUGGCCAAAUGCAUUAUUUUGGGUGGGGUUCUCUGACUCACGCUUUGCUCUUUUAUAACUCGCUAAGCAUUCAGCACAUUGAUUACAGGGUUACUGCUUUGAAAAUACCCAGGAUUUCUAAGGAGUUGGUUGUUCUAAUGUCUAGACAAUAGCUACAGCACAUGGACAGGGCUGAGACCAAUUUGGGAGACAGGAGGCUUGGUCCUUCAAGUCUACUGAAGAAAGAUUAUAAGGCAGAUGGAGAAAGGAAUGAGGGCAUCAAUUUCAGAAGGCUGUUGUAAAGAUCAAAAAAGAGAAAACGACGCAAACUCCUUACUCAGCCUCCUGCCCAUCACGUGGGAAACGCACAGCAAACAGUAGCUAUUGUUGUUACUUUGCAAUUUGCUCAGAACAGUCUCCAGUUCCCUGAUGCCCGAGGCUGACUAAGAUGCUUAUAACGAGGAUGAAAAUUUCCCUAUUGCUUCAUCAAGGAAGCAUUCUACUGGGAAACGAGCAAAGCUGGAUGAGCUGCGGAACAGAUCCGCGUGUGCUCCCCGCUGCCAGUCUAACCAGCUGACCCGAACCCCCAUCACAGAACCGCACAAACAAGCCAGAAAGCCAAACCCUCCCAGGCGCAGAGCCCUAAGAUGUGAAAGAGGCCCGGCUCCGGCUGCCUCGUUCCCCAGGGCUCAGCUUCCACGCAGCACUCGGAGGAUAACCACGCUGUACCCCCAGCUCUCCAAGUCCACGGGCACAUCUGAGUGUGAGUUAAGGAAUGCUUGUAAAGCGCUCUGAGCUUCUCAAAGGAAAGAAACAGGAAGUCUAUACAUCAUUUCUGCGAGCCUGUUAAUCAGUGUCCAAGUCUCCCUCUUCAAAGCCGCUCACCACCAGGGCUCUGUAGUCAGAGCUCAGUAUUCCCAAGAAUUUGGUUACCAUGGGAACCAAGGAAGGACACACAUGCCCUGGAUUCCAGAAAUACAAAAGGAACUGUCUAUGUCAUGAAGAACCUAGGGGUAAGACAGGAAUAAAGACACAGACCUACUAGAGAAUGGACUUGAGGAUAUGGGUA
Long non-coding RNA from Aethalodelphis obliquidens (Pacific white-sided dolphin), 1277 nucleotides. RefSeq lists it as uncharacterized. The transcript has 3 exons. The record is from RefSeq and is a predicted model, not a curated record. NCBI's taxonomy places the organism in Eukaryota, Metazoa, Chordata, Mammalia, Artiodactyla, Delphinidae.